Molecule: non-coding RNA, 86 nt
Organism: Henosepilachna vigintioctopunctata
Lineage: Eukaryota; Metazoa; Arthropoda; Insecta; Coleoptera; Coccinellidae
Source: the annotation of a GenBank genome assembly
ACCUCGGUAGCUAGAGUAACAGUAACAGUAGGUAGAGCAACAGGGCGUAAACCUGAGAGACCUGGGUUCGUAUCCCAGUCGAGGUU